This is a long non-coding RNA of Cryptomeria japonica (Japanese cedar), 717 nucleotides long. RefSeq lists it as uncharacterized. The record is from RefSeq and is a predicted model, not a curated record. NCBI's taxonomy places the organism in Eukaryota, Viridiplantae, Streptophyta, Pinopsida, Cupressales, Cupressaceae. The transcript has 3 exons.
UCCAUCACUAUUACAACUACUACGUUUUCUACUCUUCUCCCGAGUUUCCAAUGGAUCUGUUACCAUGUUUCCUCCUGCUAAGCCUUGUACUCUCCUCAUCCCACCUUGUUUCUGCAAAUUUUUAUAACGACUUUGACAUCACAUGGGGAAAUGAUCGUGCUAAGAUACUCGACAAUGGCUAACGCUUGCAGCUCACUCUCGAUCAGUCCUCAGGCUCAGGUUUCCAAUCUAAGAAUGAAUAUCUCUCUGGAAAGAUCGAUAUGCAAAUCAAGUUAGUGGCUGGUAACUCGGCCGGCACUGUCACUGCUUACUAUCUGUCCUCGCAAGGGGAUAAACACGACGAAAUAGACUUCGAGUUCCUGCGAAAUCUGUCAGGAGAUCCCUAUAUUAUGCACACCAAUGUUUUCUCUCAAGGCAAAGGCAAUCGCUAGUAGCAAUUCUACCUCUGGUUCGACCCCAAAGCAGACUUCCACACUCACUCCCUGCUCUGGAAUCCCAAACAAAUUAUGUAAGUUUCUAUUGUCCUUCCAACUGUUGGAAGUGAAGUCCAACGGACUCUUUUCCUUUACCGCCAAAACUCUUGGUUCUUUAACUUCUGUUUGUAAAGCUCUUUAAGAGCUGCUUGAAUAUCAAUUUGUCAUGUGUAUUCUGGAGCUGCUUGCAGCUGUGUAAGAACAAACCGAAUUGGUCAUCAAUAUAAUUGAUUCCCUUGCUUUA